RNAcentral lists this ribosomal RNA (453 nucleotides) under uncultured bacterium. RNAcentral's name for it is "bacterial SSU rRNA". It matches the Rfam family "Bacterial small subunit ribosomal RNA", at positions 340 to 786 of the family's 1533-position model. The record is from RNAcentral.
UACGGAAGGCAGCAGUGGGGAAUAUUGCACAAUGGGCGCAAGCCUGAUGCAGCCAUGCCGCGUGUAUGAAGAAGGGCCUUCGGGUUGUAAAGUACUUUCAGCGGGGAGGAAGGCGAUGCGGUUAAUAACCGCGUCGAUUGACGUUACCCGCAGAAGAAGCACCGGCUAACUCCGUGCCAGCAGCCGCGGUAAUACGGAGGGUGCAAGCGUUAAUCGGAAUUACUGGGCGUAAAAGCGCACGCAGGCGGUCUGUUAAGUCAGAUGUGAAAUCCCCGGGCUUAACCUGGGAACUGCAUUUUGAAACUGGCAGGCUUGAGUCUUGUAGAGGGGGUAGAAUUCCAGGUGUAGCGGUGAAAUGCGUAGAGAUCUGGAGGAAUCCGGUGGCGAAGGCGGCCCCUGGACAAAGCUGACGCUCAGGUGCGAAAGCGUGGGGAGCAAACAGGAUUAGAUACC